CUUGGUUUCUAUUUUGUUGGUUUCUAGAAGCCGAGUAAUGAUUAAUAGGAACAGUUGGGGCCGUUCAUAUUUCGCUGUCAGAGGUGAAAUUCUUAGAUUGGCGGAGGAUGAACUAACGCGAAAGCAUUCGGCAAGGAUGUUUUCAUUAAUCAAGAACGAAAGUUAGGGGAUCGAAGACGAUCAGAUACCGUCGUAGUCUUAACCAUAAACUAUGCCGACUAGGGAUUGGGAGAAGUUCAAUUUUUUUACUAUGACUCCCUCAGCACCUUAUGAGAAAUCACAAGUUUUUGGGCUCCGGGGGGAGUAUGGUCGCAAGUCUGAAACUUAAAGGAAUUGACGGAAGGGCACCACCAGGAGUGGAGCCUGCGGCUUAAUUUGACUCAACACGGGGAAACUCACCAGGUCCGGACAGGCGAAGGAUUGACAGAUUGAGAGCUCUUUCUUGAUUGCUUGGGUGGUGGUGCAUGGCCGUUCUUAGUUCGUGGAGUGAUUUGUCUGGCUAAUUCCGAUAACGAACGAGACCUUAGCUUACUAAAUAGAUACGCCUGUUGCUUUUGUUGACAGUGCGGGUACGCUUCUUAGAGAGGACUUUCGGCGAUUAGCCGAAGGAAGUUUGAGGCAAUAACAGGUCUGUGAUGCCCUUAGAUGUUCUGGGCCGCACGCGCGCUACACUGACNAAUGCAACGAGUAUUGACCGUCCUUGGCCGAUGGGCCCGGGUAAUCUGCUAAAAUUUCGUCGUGC
This 742-nucleotide ribosomal RNA is filed under the name uncultured fungus. Its description in RNAcentral is "bacterial SSU rRNA". It matches the Rfam family "Eukaryotic small subunit ribosomal RNA", at positions 828 to 1570 of the family's 1831-position model. Lineage: Eukaryota; Fungi. The record is from RNAcentral.